CUGCUGAGGUUUUGACCAUACAAGGGGU
Molecule: non-coding RNA, 28 nt
Filed under: Rattus norvegicus (Norway rat)
Lineage: Eukaryota; Metazoa; Chordata; Mammalia; Rodentia; Muridae
Source: RNAcentral